RNAcentral lists this ribosomal RNA (730 nucleotides) under uncultured archaeon. Its description in RNAcentral is "bacterial SSU rRNA". It matches the Rfam family "Archaeal small subunit ribosomal RNA", at positions 49 to 782 of the family's 1478-position model. The record is from RNAcentral.
CCAUGCGAGUCGAGAGGGUUCGGCCCUCGGCGAACUGCUCAGUAACACGNUGGNANAAUCUAACCUUAGGUGGAGCAUAACCUCGGGAAACUGAGAAUAAUACUCCAUAGAUCUUUGAGGCUGGAAUGCGCUUAGAUUGAAAGCUUCGGCGCCUAAGGAUGAGUCUGCGGACUAUCAGGUAGUAGUCAGGGUAAAGACCUGACUAGCCUACGACGGAUACGGGUUGUGAGAGCAAUAACCCGGAGAUGAUAUCUGAGACACGAUAUCAGGCCCUACGGGGCGCAGCAGGCGCGAAAACUUCACAAUGCGCGAAAGCGCGAUGAGGGGAUCCCAAGUGCUUGCACGUAAGUGUAAGCUGUUUUUCUGUCUAAAAAGCAGAGAGAGUAAGGGCUGGGUAAGACGGGUGCCAGCCGCCGCGGUAAUACCUGCAGCUCAAGUGGUGGCCGCUAUUAUUGGGCCUAAAACGUCCGUAGCCGGCUGAGUAAAUGCCUGGGUAAAUCGUGUGGCUUAACCAUACGAAUUCCGGGUAGACUGCUCAGCUUGGGACCGGAAGAAGUUAGAGGUACUCCUGGGGUAGGGGUGAAAUCCUGUAAUCCUGGGGGGACCACCAGUGGCGAAGGCGUCUAACUAGGACGGGUCUGACGGUGAGGGACGAAGCCCUGGGGCGCAAACCGGAUUANAUACCCGGGUAGUCCAGGGUGUAAACGCUGCUUGCUUGAUGUUAGGCUGG